UACGGAGGGGGCUAGCGUUGUUCGGAAUUACUGGGCGUAAAGCGCGCGUAGGCGGUUUGCUAAGUCAGGGGUGAAAUCCUGGAGCUCAACUCCAGAACUGCCUUUGAUACUGGCGGACUUGAGUCCGGGAGAGGUGAGUGGAACUGCGAGUGUAGAGGUGAAAUUCGUAGAUAUUCGCAAGAACACCAGUGGCGAAGGCGGCUCACUGGCCCGGUACUGACGCUGAGGUGCGAAAGCGUGGGGAGCAAACAGG
This 253-nucleotide ribosomal RNA is filed under the name uncultured bacterium. RNAcentral's name for it is "partial 16S ribosomal RNA". It matches the Rfam family "Bacterial small subunit ribosomal RNA", at positions 524 to 776 of the family's 1533-position model. The record is from RNAcentral.